CCUACGGGGGGCAGCAGUCGAGAAUCAUUCACAAUGGGGGAAACCCUGAUGGUGCGACGCCGCGUGGGGGAAUGAAGGUCUUCGGAUUGUAAACCCCUGUCAUGUGGGAGCAAAUUAUAAAGAUAGUACCACAAGAGGAAGAGACGGCUAACUCUGUGCCAGCAGCCGCGGUAAUACAGAGGUCUCAAGCGUUGUUCGGAAUCACUGGGCGUAAGGCGUGCGUAGGCUGUUUCGUAAGUCGUGUGUGAAAGGCGCGGGCUCAACCCGCGGACGGCACAUGAUACUGCGAGACUAGAGUAAUGGAGGGGGAACCGGAAUUCUCGGUGUAGCAGUGAAAUGCGUAGAUAUCGAGAGGAACACUCGUGGCGAAGGCGGGUUCCUGGACAUUAACUGACGCUGAGGCACGAAGGCCAGGGGAGCGAAAGGGAUUAGAUACCCCAGUAGUC
This 446-nucleotide ribosomal RNA is filed under the name uncultured bacterium. RNAcentral describes it as "partial 16S ribosomal RNA". It matches the Rfam family "Bacterial small subunit ribosomal RNA", at positions 338 to 795 of the family's 1533-position model. The record is from RNAcentral.